GGGAUUGCCUUAGUAGCGGCGAGUGAAGCGGCAAUAGCUCAAAUUUGAAAUCUGGCACCUUCGGUGUCCGAGUUGUAAUUUGAAGAAGGUAUCUUUGGUUUUGGCUCUUGUCUAUGUUCCUUGGAACAGGACGUCACAGAGGGUGAGAAUCCCGUGCGAUGAGAUGCCCAAUUCCAUGUAAAGUUCCUUCGACGAGUCGAGUUGUUUGGGAAUGCAGCUCUAAGUGGGUGGUAAAUUCCAUCUAAAGCUAAAUAUUGGCGAGAGACCGAUAGCGAACAAGUACUGUGAAGGAAAGAUGAAAAGAACUUUGAAAAGAGAGUGAAAAAGUACGUGAAAUUGUUGAAAGGGAAGGGCUUGAGAUUAGACUUGGAAUUUUCCAUUUAUGGAGCUUUCCGGGCCAGCAUCAGUUUGGAUGGCAGGAUAAUUGCGUUGGAAAGUAGCACCACUUCGGUGGUGUGUUAUAGACUUCGUCGAUACUGCCUAUCUAGACUGAGGACCGCGUCUUUGACUAGGAUGCUGGCGUA
This 524-nucleotide ribosomal RNA is filed under the name Yamadazyma membranifaciens. Its description in RNAcentral is "[Candida] membranifaciens partial large subunit ribosomal RNA". It matches the Rfam family "Eukaryotic large subunit ribosomal RNA", at positions 71 to 633 of the family's 3401-position model. The record is from RNAcentral. Lineage: Eukaryota; Fungi; Ascomycota; Pichiomycetes; Serinales; Debaryomycetaceae.